AGCGAACGCUGGCGGCGUGCUUAACACAUGCAAGGUCGCGCGGGAAAGAGACUUUCGGGUCUUGAGUAGAGCGGCGGACGGGUGCGUAAGACGCGGGUGGACCUAUCCGAGAGGCGGGGAUAACCCAGCGAAAGCGGGGCUAAUACCGGGAUGAGCCCCCGAGGACGGAAACGCGCGGGGGCAAAGGAUGCUACUCGGAGUAGUGGCAUGUCCUCACGGAGGGGGCCCACGGCCUAUCAGCAGUUGGUGUGGUAACGGCGCACCAAGGCGAAGACGGGUAGCUGGUCUGAGAGGAGUGGCCAGCCACGACGGGGACUGAGACACGGGCCCCGA
RNAcentral lists this ribosomal RNA (333 nucleotides) under uncultured bacterium. RNAcentral's name for it is "bacterial SSU rRNA". It matches the Rfam family "Bacterial small subunit ribosomal RNA", at positions 30 to 335 of the family's 1533-position model. The record is from RNAcentral.